Molecule: long non-coding RNA, 1716 nt
Organism: Tupaia belangeri chinensis (Chinese tree shrew)
Lineage: Eukaryota; Metazoa; Chordata; Mammalia; Scandentia; Tupaiidae
Exons: 3
Source: RefSeq, a predicted model, not a curated record
UUUCCUCGUAGCCGGCGCCUGAGGGACUGACUGACUCAGACUGCCGCCGACCUUCACAGGGGAUGAAGCUGAGACCUCGCCCCAGCCUGCGAGGCUUUGUAAACCUACUUCGGUUACGGAAGGACGCGUGUCAACGCGCCCACGCUGUGCUGUGUUUGUCAAAGUGAUCUCUGAAACACUCGCAUCAAAUCCACUUGAGGAGGUUGUCGGAAAGGCAGAUCGCUGGGCCUUGCAGCAGGAUGCCUCUUGAUGCCCUGUGUUCCUCUCAUCAUUACAUUUUGAAAAUAGGCGGGAUACAGGAAAGCCGAGAAGAACUUGGGCAGGGGCUUAGUUCUGCUGGAAUCUAAAUUCUCAGCGUUUGGUGUUGCCGGGACCUGGACCAACAGAGCUGACACAAAUUACUGAGACAGCACCUCAGAAGUUCUGUGCUUGUUGAUAUCCCAAAGAUUGAGGAAGCAGAGACUCAAGCAAUCUUGUUAAUUGGGCGCAUUGAGUCAUGGCCAAUUAACUAUGGGUUAAUCUGCCUUGCGAAGCAAAUGUGGCUUUGUAUUUACAUCGCUCCAGCCAUCUCAUGACAUGUGCAGAAUAAUAUCUAUAUCAUGUUGCAAAUAUGGCAAUCAAGACAAAGAGAGUGCCAGAGAUUGUGUGUGCUUAUUCUUCUCACUGUGGGACGGCAGCCCUCUGGAUCAGCCCCGUUAGAGUGUUACUGCUAGAGAGAUCCUGCUCAGCCAAGUCAUGACCUGUGAUGGAAGCCUGUGGCCAGCGGCUAAUGGACGGUAUGAAGGCUGGGACCUCUUGCCCUGGAGGUAAACCACCUCUGAAGGUUCAUCCCAUCUUCAGAACUCCUCACAGAAGCAGCUGAGACUUUAUUUGAGAUUACAUCACAGUCUGACUUCCUUUCCUUCCCUUCUGUAGAUGUUGGCGACAAAGUAACAAUCUAAUUAACUUCCUACACGUUCACUUCCCUGGCGCUGUGCUUUGCUGGUACACAACCUCCCCAAUUCUACAUUUCAGCUAUCCUUGACCGACCCAAAGUUUUCUUCCAUUCAGAUCUUUCUCCCAACAGUUCCCUGUCAUGAGAGCCCCAGAAAGUGAACGAUCUAGGAAGAUAAUUGAGAAAGGGGUACAGACCUAACAGGAAAAGGGCAAUAUUGAGUACAGGGGCUAGAGAUUGAGCUAAGGGGAGUGGGCUUGGAGAUAAGGCUCCAGAACCACAUCUUCUAACAAGUCCCACACUCAUACUGCUAGAACUGAUCCUCUAACUAAGGUCAGGAUUAGUCUCAAUGUCUGGGGAGCCAGCAAGGGUUAAGGGUGAAGUAGGAGAUGUGAGGCAGAAGAAUGAUUUGGAGCCUAGAGGUCUGGUCAGAUACAGAGUCAGGAAACUAGGCAAGUUAUGCUACUUUCACACACACACACACACACACACACACACUCACAUACACAACUGUAUUUGGGAAAAGAACUGAGCUUUUGAAGCAACAUACUCAUGGAUUAGCUCCCCUUUUCAAGGCAUUACUCUGCAAAAUCAAGGACUAUCUUUCUUAUUAAAAACUCCCUGACAGAUUUCAUGGAUUCAUUCACCUAACAUACAUCAUAUAUAAGAAACAAAUCUUCAGGAAACAAUGAAAACAACACAUACAUAGGCCAUUUGUAUUUAUGAGCACAGGAAAGAAGUAUCUGGCAGUAGCAGGAAACAAGAAGAGGGUCCAGAAGAGG